RNAcentral lists this ribosomal RNA (443 nucleotides) under uncultured bacterium. RNAcentral's name for it is "bacterial SSU rRNA". It matches the Rfam family "Bacterial small subunit ribosomal RNA", at positions 339 to 794 of the family's 1533-position model. The record is from RNAcentral.
UUACGGGAGGCAGCAGUGGGGAAUAUUGCGCAAUGGGCGGAAGCCUGACGCAGCGACGCCGCGUGGGGGAUGAAGGCCUUCGGGUUGUAAACCUCUUUCAGCGCCGAAGAAGCGGGAGUGACGGUAGGCGCAGAAGAAGCACCGGCUAACUACGUGCCAGCAGCCGCGGUAAUACGUAGGGUGCGAGCGUUGUCCGGAAUUAUUGGGCGUAAAGAGCUCGUAGGCGGUCUGUCGCGUCUGCUGUGAAAACCUGGGGCUUAACUCCGGGCUUGCAGUGGGUACGGGCUGACUGGAGUGCGGUAGGGGAGACUGGAAUUCCUGGUGUAGCGGUGAAAUGCGCAGAUAUCAGGAGGAACACCGGUGGCGAAGGCGGGUCUCUGGGCCGUAACUGACGCUGAGGAGCGAAAGCGUGGGGAGCGAACAGGAUUAGAUACCCUGGUAGA